AGGAUAAACGCUGGCGGCGUGCCUAACACAUGCAAGUCGAACGCGCUUUCGUCUUCGGAGGAGAGCGAGUGGCGGACGGGUGAGUAACACAUGGGUACCUACCCCACAGUGAGGGAUACCGGCGAGAAAUCGCCGACAAUACCGCAUAGGCUUCUCUUUGGAGACGAGGAGAAGCAAAGUUGCGCAAGCGACGCUGAGGGAUGGGCCUGUGGCCGAUUAGCUAGUUGGGGGGUAACGGCCUCCCAAGGCUUCGAUCGGUAGCUGGUCUGAGAGGACGAUCAGCCACACUGGGAUUGAGAACGGCCCAGACUCCUACGGGGGGCGAGCAGUGAGGAACUUUUCCGCAAUGGAGGCAACUCUGACGGAGCAACGCCGCGUGCAGGAUGAAGGUUUUCGGAUCGUAAACUGCUUUUCUCGGGGACGAGCAAGGACGGUACCCGAGGAAGAAGCCCCGGCUAACUACGUGCCAGCAGCCGC
RNAcentral lists this ribosomal RNA (477 nucleotides) under uncultured bacterium. Its description in RNAcentral is "SSU rRNA". It matches the Rfam family "Bacterial small subunit ribosomal RNA", at positions 26 to 518 of the family's 1533-position model. The record is from RNAcentral.